AAAGCAGAUCCAUCGACUGGUGGUUGAUAAUCAUAAACACUUUUACAAUCUGAGAGACACAUUCAACAUUUACUUCACAAAAAACGUAUCCUAUUGCUCUUGGCAUGAGAUACAAGUGGCACUUCUCAAGCAAUGGAACCUAAUUGAUGAGUACAAAACGUGUGGUUGUUUGAAUAUAACCGAUUGGAUGUUGACAGAAACGAUCAGUUCUUCUGGGCAAAUACUCUACAGACUUUCCUAUUUCCUGACUGUUAAUGACUCUAAUGUGGAAUCACUCACUGCGUCUCAUUUGGACUUUAGUGCAAUAAUGACAGCACUGGAAAACAUAACGGCAAC
Molecule: long non-coding RNA, 336 nt
Organism: Gigantopelta aegis
Lineage: Eukaryota; Metazoa; Mollusca; Gastropoda; Neomphalida; Peltospiridae
Exons: 3
Source: RefSeq, a predicted model, not a curated record